ACUAAUACUAGCCCAACUCUUCUUAUUCCUUUCAAAUACAAUACACCUAAUAAAUAAAACAUUCAUCUGAAUAAAGUAUAGGAGAUAGAAAUUUAUAUCUGGAGCUAUAGAGAAAGUACCGCAAGGGAAAGAUGAAAGAAUAAACUAAUAGUACUAAGAAGCAAAGAUUAACUCUUUUACCUUUUGCAUAAUGGUUUAACCAGAAAACAUUUGACAAAAAGAAUUUAAGCCAAACACCCCGAAACCAGACGAGCUACUUAUAGGCAGCCAAUAAGAGCCUAUCCGUCUAUGUCGCAAAAUAGUGGAACGACUUAUAAGUAGAGGUGAAAAGCCUAUCGAGCCUGGUGAUAGCUGGUUGUCCAGACUAGAAUUUAAGUUCUACUUUAAAUUUACCUAAAGCACAAACAAGCUGAAUGUAAAUUUAAAUGUUAUUCUAAAGAGGGACAGCUCUUUGGAGUCAAGGAAUUAGCCUUAACUAGAGAGUAAAACUAUUAAUUUCCAUAGUUGGCCUAAAAGCAGCCAUCAAUUAAAAAAGCGUUAAAGCUUAAUCAACUAAUUAAAACUUAAUACCCAGCUCUUUCAUAAUCUCCUAAUUCAAUACUGGACUAAUCUAUUUUACAAUAGAAGAAACUAUGUUAAAAUCAGUAACAAGAAAAUAUUCUCCCCGCAUGAGCUUAUAUCAGAUCGAAUAAUUCACUGAUAGUUAACAACUCCAUAAUAUUAAAUAAACAUAAAAUCAUUAUUAUUAAAAUUGUUAAUCCAACACUGGCAUGCGUUUAAGGGAAAGAUUAAAAAAAAGUAAAAGGAACUCGGCAAACACUAACCUCGCCUGUUUACCAAAAACAUCACCUCUAGCAUAAAUAGUAUUAGAGGCACUGCCUGCCCAGUGACACACGUUCAACGGCCGCGGUAUCCUGACCGUGCAAAGGUAGCAUAAUCACUUGUUCUUUAAAUAAGGACUAGCAUGAAUGGCUUAACGAGGGUUUAACUGUCUCUUACUUUUAAUCAGUGAAAUUGACCUUCCCGUGAAGAGGCGGGAAUUUCCUAAUAAGACGAGAAGACCCUAUGGAGCUUUAAUUUAAUAGUCUCACAGCCCUAAUAAAAUCCUAGGAAUCAAAAUUAUUGUUUACAGACUAGAAAUUUUGGUUGGGGUGACCUCGGAGUAUAAAUCAACCUCCGAAUGAUAAUAAUCUAGACACACAUGUCCAAAUUAUAAAUCAUUAAUUGACCCAAAUCAUUGAUCAACGGAACAAGUUACCCUAGGGAUAACAGCGCAAUCCUACUCAAGAGUCCAUAUCGACAGUUAGGGUUUACGACCUCGAUGUUGGAUCAGGACAUCCAAAUGGUGUAACCGCUAUUAAUGGUUCGUUUGUUCAACGAUUAAAGUCCUACGUGAUCUGAGUUCAGACCGGAGAAAUCCAGGUCGGUUUCUAUCUAUUAUUAAAUUUCUCCCAGUACGAAAGGACAAGAGAAAUAAGGCCAAUUAAACUCUAAUGCCUUAGAAUUAAUGGAUGAAACAAUCUUAAUCCAAUAAUAUAUUUUAAAUAACCUGCCCUAGAGCAGGGCUU
This 1568-nucleotide ribosomal RNA is filed under the name Marmota himalayana (Himalayan marmot). RNAcentral's name for it is "16S ribosomal RNA". It matches the Rfam family "Bacterial large subunit ribosomal RNA", at positions 274 to 2853 of the family's 2925-position model. Lineage: Eukaryota; Metazoa; Chordata; Mammalia; Rodentia; Sciuridae. The record is from RNAcentral.